RNA transcript from Falco peregrinus (peregrine falcon), 6320 nucleotides. It is a transcript of the gene named transmembrane protein 132D, with no coding region annotated. The transcript has 10 exons. Lineage: Eukaryota; Metazoa; Chordata; Aves; Falconiformes; Falconidae. The record is from RefSeq and is a predicted model, not a curated record.
CGGCUUAAAUCUCAGUCUCCCUGUCAACAGCAACCGCGGCACGCGUAGGAUGGGCCGGGGCCGGAGGAGGCGAGCGGGCGGGUGGGCCGGGGCCGGCGCCCCGGUGCGGCAUCCGCUGGGGCGGCAGGUGCCCGCCGGCCGCGGCCGCUGCGCCCGUCGGCCCCGGGAGCAGUAAGCACAUCUGUGACAAUGACCUUCUGGAGGGAGCCGCGCUCGCCCCUUGCCUCUCGUGCAGAAAGUCAAACAAGUCAAUGAGGAUAUUGGGAACUUAAAAAGAAAAAAGCGCAACAACAACAAAAGCCCUGUCUUUGUGUCUGGAUGAUUUCAGGGUUACUCGCAUCACCUAAAGGAAAACUUUGAUGGCUGGGGAGCCAACGUGCUUUUCCACCGGGAUGCGGACACUGGCUUUGUGAAGCGUGGGCACGAGUGGACAUGCAGGUCUCCACCUGAGGAGCCAGCGGUGUGUGGAGCCCCCCUGCCCAGUGUACCAGACCCUGUCAGCUCGGGGCUAUUCUGGGGUAGAGGAUUGCUUGCCUGUCUCAGUCAGCUGAGGCCGGGGGGUGCGAUUUUAAGCAGAACUGUUUCCUAUCUUAUUUAUUGAGAGGAGAGGGUUUUUCUUUCACAGCAUCAUAUGUUUUGAAGAAAGGAGGGAGGAAAGAGGGUGGUUAAAGCUAAAGAAGUCCUCUCUCUGAAGGAAAUGCCUCUUGCACUCCCCAGAUGACCUUUUCUGAAAAUGCAGCCUCUCCAGCUGCUCGAUUUUGAUUUUGACUACAAGGUGUGUGUAACUGAGCCCUAACUUUUCCACACACCCUAAUAUGUGUGCUUCUGGGAUUAGCAAUAUGGGACAUCUGUUUUCACCUCUCCUCUUGAGCCUGGCAGCAGUUUUUUCCAAAGUGACGGAGAGUCGAGGGAUCCUGGAGAGUAUACAGAGAUUUUCUUUACUGCCAACUUACUUGCCUGUGACCUAUCGUAUCCACAAUGCAGAUGUUUCCUUCUUUCUUAAGGAAGCUAAUCAGGAUAUUAUGAGGAAUUCUAGCUUGCAGUCCCGAGUGGAAUCCUUUCUGAUCUACAAAUCCAAGAGACCACCUGUGCUAAAUGCCAGCUAUGGACCUUUUUCCAUUGAACAAGUAGUGCCCCAGGACUUAAUGUGGGCUUCAAAUCCAUUUGGAUCUACUAACAAGUUCUCCUUUAAUUGGAAACUUAAGGCCUUCAUAAUGAAUGACAAAAUUUACCCAAGCAAGCCCAAAGUCCAGGUCCUAUUCUACAUUGUGGGCAGGGACUGGGAUGACUAUAACACCAUGGAACAGCUGCCCUGCCUGCGGGUGUUUGCCUUCAGAGAGACACGGGAAGUCAGAGGCAGCUGCAGAUUGCAAGGAGAUCUGGGGUUGUGUGUGGCAGAGCUGGAGCUCCUGCCAAGCUGGUUUAACCCCCCCACGGUUGUUGCUGGCCGUAAGAAAUCAAUGAAUCAGUCUGAAGGGAGCCCUGUGGAACUUUACUAUGCCAUACAGCCGGGACAUGAGAAAGGGGAAUGUACAAAGGAGGAUGUAAGGAAAAGUAAUGGGAUCCAACCAGGGCACAAUGACAUUGAUGAGUCAGGACCUCCCUUGCAGAGGAUUGGAAGUGUUUUUCUUUUCCAGACACGGGCUGGCCCUUCCUUAAGUGAAAUGAAAUUGGAUAAUAAUAUUGCCAUCCAGUAUGCACCAAAGACUGUCAAGCAAGGUGACAUUUUGACUUUCCUUGUAUCUGUUGCUAAAAAUUCAACAGAAGAUCAGUUCACACUGAGGGCAACGGUAAAGAAAGGUGUGAACAUUUUCAGUGUAAGAGCCAGCAGCCCAUACUUAUGGGACAUCAGAGAGAGUGUGGAUUAUACCAGGAAAUAUGCACCAGUUGUUAUUGUUUGCCAGAGGAAAUCUGCUGCCUCUGAAAACAGUGCGGAUGGUCCUUCCUCUGAAAUCAUGCAGAUUGAUUUUGAAAUUGAAGACCUAACUGACCUACCUGGGACCCAGCUCAUCACGUGGCAGGUAGAAUAUCUUGGAGAUACAACAUCUGAUCUAGGAAUCUCCAAGAUCUACGUAAACCAGAAGGACCUGGUAGGAGUUCUUCCUUUGGCUAUGGAAGCAGAGAUCCUGAAUACAGCUAUCCUAACUGGGAAAACAGUGGCUGUCCCUGUCAAAGUGAUCUCUGUGGAAGAUGAUGGGACUGUGACUGAUCUUCUGGAGUCUGUGGAAUGCAGAUCGUCAGAUGAAGAUGUCAUUAAGGUUUCUGACAGAUGUGACUAUGUCUUUGUCAAUGGGAAGGAAAUGAAAGGCAAAGUGAAUGUCAUAGUUAAUUUUACUUACCAGCAUCUGAGUGCCCCUUUAGAAAUGACAGUCUGGGUUCCUCGUCUCCCGCUGCAGAUAGAGGUCUCUGACACAGAACUAAAUCAGAUCAAGGGGUGGAGAGUCCCCAUCAUCUCUAAUAAGAGACCAGCCAGGGACAGUGAUGAUGAAGAAGAGGAUGAACGUAAGGGAAGAGGCUGUACCCUUCAGUACCAACAUGCAAUGGUGCGAGUCCUCACACAGUUUGUGGCUGAAGCCUCAGACCCCGGUGGCCAGCUGAGCUAUUUACUGGGUUCUGACUGGCAGAUUGACAUUACCAACCUGGUGAGUGACUUCAUGCAGGUGGAGGAGCCAAGAAUUGCUAAGCUGCAGGAUGGACAGGUUUUGAUUGGGCAGGAGCUCGGAAUGACGACGAUUCAGAUCUUGUCCCCCCUUUCAGAUGCUAUCUUGGCCGAGAAGACAGUGACAGUUCUGGAUGAGAAGGUGACAAUAACUGACCUGGGAGUGCAGCUGGUGACUGGAUUGUCGCUUUCCCUGCAGCUUAGUCCAGGAAGCAAUAAGGCCAUCUUUGCUACAGCAGUAGCACAAGAGCUGCUCCAGUCUCCAAAGCAGGAAGCAGCCAUGAGCUGCUGGAUCCAGUUCAGUGAUGGAUCCGUCAUGCCCCUGGAUAUUUUUGACUCCAAAGACUUCUCCUUGUCAGUUACAUCUCUGGAUGAGAAGGUGGUCUCCAUUCACCAUGACCCCAAGUUCAAGUGGCCUGUGAUUGCUGCUGAGACAGAAGGCCAGGGGACACUGGUGAAGGUAGAGAUGGUGAUCAGUGAGUCAUGCCAGAAAUCCAAAAGAAAGAGCAUCUUAGCUGUUGGAAGUGGUAGCAUUAGAGUCAAGUUUGGACAGAGUGAUGCUAACGCUAACAUCAGUGACAGUAAACACAGGGGUGCUGGUGUCCACCUAGAUAAUCGUGCCAGUGACUGGCAUCAAAAAAACAGUUUUCAGGAAAGACCUGGGCUAGAUGGCCAGUACUACAGCUCCUCAAUGGGCCUUGAGCAAGGCAAAGGAACCACCACUCAAAGGCCUAUUUUAAACAAAAAAGAAGACAGAGAAAGCCUCCUGGAUGACAACAGUCACCUGCAGAACAUCCCAAUAGACUUCACAAGUUUCCCUGCACAGGUGGAUCUGCCAAGAAACAAUGGAGAUUUUGAAGAGAAUGACCUAGUCCAGGCACCUAGGGGACUGAGCGAUCUGGAGAUAGGAAUGUAUGCUCUUCUGGGAGUCUUUUGCCUGGCAAUUCUGGUCUUCCUUAUCAAUUGUGUCACUUUUGCUUUGAAGUACAGAAACAAACAAGCUCCCUUUGAAGAGCAAGAAGGCAUGAGCCACUCUCAUGACUGGGUUGGGCUAAGCAACAGGACAGAACUUCUGGAGAAUCACGUGAAUUUCUCAACCCAACAGGAUGAACGUAUCACAGCCAUUGACAGAGGAGUGGACUACGAAGAGAGCAAAUAUCUCCUCAACACAAAUGCCCCCAAAAAUAUUAAUGGACAGUCUUUUAGGUCUACUGAGUCCACAUUUACUGAAGGGAAAGAACAGAAAAGUGAACCAACUACUUCUCCUACCUCUAAGAGGAAACGGGUUAAAUUCACCACCUUUACCACCAUCUCCUCUAAUGAUGGGUGUCCAACUGUCAACUCGAUCUUGAUGAGUAGUGAGGAUGACAUUAAAUGGGUCUGCCAGGAUAUGGACCUGGGGGAGUGCAAAGAGCUUAAAAACUAUAUGGAGAGAUUACAUGAAAAUGUGUAAUGAGACACAAAAGACCUUUUUGUUUGGUUGGUUUGUUUGUUUGUUUUUCACUCACCUUCUGCCUUUAAUUUCGGGUAGUGGGGCAAAACAUUGUAGUGAAAACAAGAAUCAGCUAGUGAAUACUAACUCAAUGGAGCCCCAAGAAGCCAUCCAAAAGCAGCUGGGAGAGCAGAGAUCCUGGACAGCUCUUAAAAGUCAAGUCUUCUGUGUGCUCAGAGUUGGAAGUGAGAGAUGUGUGUGGCUUUUUGAUGCAUGAUAACAUGGAAAAAAAACGCAACUUGGCAAAAUAAUAUGGUUGCAUUCUCUGAGCUUUCCCAGGAAAUCAAUAAAUAUAACAAACUCCAGUGCAGUUUGGAUAUUACAAAGUUCGCACAGCUCUACUGUUCAAUAUUGCAAGGUUUAGUUAAAAGCAAAAAUGGUGUCAGAAUAAAUAGAUCCAUGAAGAGAGCUUGUCACUCAAUCCAUAGGCAGAGAAUAUACCUCCAAGAACAUUAAUUUAAAGCUGACAAAACCCAACAGUGUGAGCAAAGAGCUCCCAGAGCUGAAAAGUCACGAGUUUCCAAAGAAUCUGGAGGGGGGGGAAAGGAGUAACAGGGCUGUUGACUAACCAGCAUGUUUGCCUCCCAAGCACUGAGUACAGAUACAUACACACAGUUAAGACUGAAACUCUCUUUUUAGGUAGAUGCCAAGGUAAUAAAUUUUGCCAGCCAAUUUUCAGUAUUUCAUAAUUUGUAAAAUAGGAGAAGAUGUAAUCUAGACUAAGAAUAUCACUCAUAUAAAGGAAGGUCUGUUCUGGAAAGUUUGAGAGAGCAAGCUAUUUUUAAAAGUCCACUUUGAUUGUCCUGUUUCAGAUUUGUAUUCCCAGCCAUUUCCCUGGAGCAAUACCCAUUUGGUAACCUGAGGGCACUUACGAGCAUCAGUCAACCUUGGAAGCAUGUGGUUUCCUCCUUCCCUUCCAUGCGCACUCGCUUCUCUACGGUGUGCUGUUGCCAAGCUCAGACACGUACCUCUCAUCAUGGCCUGGACUACUCCUGUGCAAGCUCAAGGACAAAGUGCAACAGUAAGGACAGCUGCAGCGCAGGGCCCAGACUAGCUCUGGAUGAGCGCUCAGGUGAGGGAAGCAUCCUUGGUGGUGUAUCAAAGCACUGCAGCCUCCCAGCAGUUUCAGCGGUGGUCUAGCCCCCUGUCUUGCCUCCAAAUCUGGAGCUCUUUUGGGUGUUUUUUACACAUCGCUACAUUGUGUUCACAGAGUUACCCUCAGCGAUGUGGAGGUCAGGGUAAAAGUGGCCAAAUCUCAGCUGGCAGUCUGUGCGGAUCAGAUGUGUGCAUGCAUGAAAGAUUGUCUUGCAAAAGCGUCCCUGCACGGCCAGUCUUUCUCCUUCAGAAAGAGCAGGCACAAGCCAUGCUGGGAGGAGGCUGUCAGAAUUGCUUUACCAGUGAGUUGCUAUGGUAAACCCAGAUUUCUGCAUUAGCUGCCUCUGGGGAACAUGAAUAACUAACAGCAAGUUCAUCUGGUAGCACAAUCCGCCGAAAUGAGCUAGGACAAAACAGCCACCAGCUACGAUGCUAAGGGUACUGACAUUCAGAUUCAUGCCUUUCUGCUUGCUCAGAGAUCCCUGCUGUCUUCCACAGCUGUAGCUUGCUAUUAUCCACGGAGCAGGACUAAUUAAUAGUAUGGAGUGAUCUUUGUCCAUAGAUCUCAAAGUGCUCUGAGCCAGGUGGAUUCCUUAUUGACAUGGAGAACACCAAGGUUAAGUGAUUUGCCCAAAGUUACAGAAAAUCUAUGGCAAAACCUGGGCAUAGAGACAUCACUUCUCCCCACCCCCCCUUUAAUGUUUCACAUUCACUGAGCAUCCUGAGCUCUAGCUCAAGGAGAAGCCAGAGUGGAUUGUGGCCAUCUGUAUGCAAGCAAACACUCUUAGCUAAUCUCCUAGUAGCACAAUAAAUCAACUUCCUAUAGAGAUUUUUUUAAUGUAUCUGUUGGGGUGUGGGUAUGUUCACUUUUUUCACAGUGCAAGGCCCAUAUUUUUGAGUGAGUUUCUGCAUCAUGGAGUAUCUCGGGAGGGAAAGAUUGUGUUUCAGGCAAUCAGAUGAGAUGCCCAUUUGGCACUUGAAGGGGGCUACAUUCUGUUCCCCUUCAUAAAAGCAGCGAUGGUGUUUAGAUGCUGCAUGUGUAUAACAUUUUGCUGCGGCUCCCAUUGGCAAUCU